Molecule: unclassified non-coding RNA, 240 nt
Filed under: soil metagenome
Description: partial contains 5.8S ribosomal RNA, internal transcribed spacer 2, and large subunit ribosomal RNA
Source: RNAcentral
AACUGAUACUACCUGCGGGAACCUGCGGAAGGAUCAUUACUGAGUGAGGGCCCCUCGGGGUCCAACCUCCCACCCGUGUUUAACGAACCUUUGUUGCUUCGGCGGGCCCGCCUCACGGCCGCCGGGGGGCUCCUGCCCCCGGGCCCGCGCCCGCCGAAGCCCCCCCUUGAACGCUGUCUGAAGUUUGCAGUCUGAGAAACUAGCUAAAUUAGUUAAAACUUUUAGCAACGGAUCUCUAGA